Molecule: ribosomal RNA, 482 nt
Filed under: uncultured bacterium
Lineage: Bacteria
Description: partial 16S ribosomal RNA
Rfam family: Bacterial small subunit ribosomal RNA
Source: RNAcentral
AUUGAACGCUGGCGGCAUGCUUUACACAUGCAAGUCGAACGGUAACAGGCCGCAAGGUGCUGACGAGUGGCGAACGGGUGAGUAAUGCAUCGGAACGUGCCCAGUCGUGGGGGAUAACUACUCGAAAGAGUAGCUAAUACCGCAUACGAUCUAUGGAUGAAAGCGGGGGACCGUAAGGCCUCGCGCGAUUGGAGCGGCCGAUGUCAGAUUAGGUAGUUGGUGGGGUAAAGGCUCACCAAGCCAACGAUCUGUAGCUGGUCUGAGAGGACGGCCAGCCACACUGGGACUGAGACACGGCCCAGACUCCUACGGGAGGCAGCAGUGGGGAAUUUUGGACAAUGGGCGCAAGCCUGAUCCAGCAAUGCCGCGCGCAGGAAGAAGGCCUUCGGGUUGUAAACUGCUUUUGUACGGAACGAAACGGCUCUGGUUAAUACCCGGGGCUAAUGACGGUACCGUAAGAAUAAGCACCGGCUAACUACGUG